Non-coding RNA from Danio rerio (zebrafish), 740 nucleotides. The record is from RefSeq and is a predicted model, not a curated record. Lineage: Eukaryota; Metazoa; Chordata; Actinopteri; Cypriniformes; Danionidae.
GGAGCCAAUGUUGUCGCUGAUAUGCUCCCCUUCACCUGUCAUAGGGCUGCAGAUAACGUGCAGUGUGGUAUGUAGACUGGGGAGGUUGCAUGUAUAUGGGAUCCCUUAAAUGGGUGGAGGACUGUGUGGGCAUGACCUGAGGCUGUCGUAUGGAUUCUUUAAUUUGAGCCACCUCUACACUGAGAUCCUUCAACAUUGCCAUGUCAGACCGCAUUCCUUUUAACUCACUCAAAAGGCAACAUUGACCUUGUCCAAUAGAAGUUCAUCGCUCACCUCAUUUCUUGUGAGAUAGCUACGCAGCUGCAUGCCUGGUGCUAUCGCUCUGAUUACAGCAUCCACUAUUUCAAGUUCCGAAACCCCUCUGCUCAGUCCAUGCUCAAUUUGAUGAGCCAAACUUGAAAAAGUGAGUUUGUCUUUCUGUCCAUGCUCACCGAUCUGUCCUGAAAUUUUAAAUUCUCUAUUCCAGGGAAACAUAACUGGUUGAGAGGGCACUUGAUUUAGUCUUUCUUGCUCUACGUUUUCUGCUACCUGGUCUAAGGCCCCUCUUUUUGAUGUGGACCGUGGACACCUUCACUUCACUGAUCUCCUAGGCUGAGUAAAAAGAUGAAUGGCACUGAAGGACAACUGUCAUCACUCGAAGCCGACCCACACUGCAUCCAUCCCAGCGGUGCCUCCAAAAUGUAGCGCCCUCACUGCCUGAUGAGGGACAAUAAUGUUAAUAAAAACACAGGAAACACGGA